RNAcentral lists this ribosomal RNA (515 nucleotides) under uncultured bacterium. RNAcentral's name for it is "partial 16S ribosomal RNA". It matches the Rfam family "Bacterial small subunit ribosomal RNA", at positions 28 to 523 of the family's 1533-position model. The record is from RNAcentral.
GAUGAACGCUGGCGGCGUGCCUAAUACAUGCAAGUCGAGCGAAUGGAUUAAGAGCUUGCUCUUAUGAAGUUAGCGGCGGACGGGUGAGUAACACGUGGGUAACCUGCCCAUAAGACUGGGAUAACUCCGGGAAACCGGGGCUAAUACCGGAUAACAUUUUGAACCGCAUGGUUCGAAAUUGAAAGGCGGCUUCGGCUGUCACUUAUGGAUGGACCCGCGUCGCAUUAGCUAGUUGGUGAGGUAACGGCUCACCAAGGCAACGACGCGUAGCCGACAUGAGAGGGUGAUCGGCCACACUGGGACUGAGACACGGCCCAGACUCCUACGGGAGGCAGCAGUAGGGAAUCUUCCGCAAUGGACGAAAGUCUGACGGAGCAACGCCGCGUGAGUGAUGAAGGCUUUCGGGUCGUAAAACUCUGUUGUUAGGGAAGAACAAGUACUAGUUGAAUAAGCUGGCACCUUGACGGUACCUAACCAGAAAGCCACGGCUAACUACGUGCCAGCCGCCGCGGUAA